CCUACGGGAGGCAGCAGUGGGGAAUUUUGCGCAAUGGGCGAAAGCCUGACGCAGCGACGCCGCGUGGAGGAUGAAGGUCUUCGGAUUGUAAACUCCUUUUGCAGGGAAAGAUAAUGACGGUACCCUGCGAAUAAGCCACGGC
This 142-nucleotide ribosomal RNA is filed under the name uncultured bacterium. RNAcentral describes it as "partial 16S ribosomal RNA". It matches the Rfam family "Bacterial small subunit ribosomal RNA", at positions 338 to 497 of the family's 1533-position model. The record is from RNAcentral.